UAAGGAAUAUUGGACAAUGGAGGCAACUCUGAUCCAGCCAUGCCGCGUGAAGGAAUAAGGCCCUAUGGGUUGUAAACUUCUUUUAGACGGGACAAAACCCCUUUACGUGUAAAGGGUUGAUGGUACUGUCAGAAUAAGCAUCGGCUAACUUCGUGCCAGCAGCCGCGGUAAUACGAAGGAUGCAAGCGUUAUCCGGAAUUAUUGGGUUUAAAGGGUGCGUAGGCGGACUAAUAAGUCAGUGGUGAAAUCCCGUGGCUUAACCACGGAAUUGCCAUUUAUACUGCUGUUCUUGAGUACGCUCGACGUGGGCGGAAUGUGCCGUGUAGCGGUGAAAUGCUUAGAUAUGGCACAGAACACCGAUAGUGAAGACAGCUCACGAGGGCGAAACUGACGCUGAGGCACGAAAGCGUGGGGAUCAAACA
Molecule: ribosomal RNA, 422 nt
Filed under: uncultured bacterium
Lineage: Bacteria
Description: bacterial SSU rRNA
Rfam family: Bacterial small subunit ribosomal RNA
Source: RNAcentral